GGAAAAUCAGGACUGAUUUUAAGGCAGCUUUGUGGUGACUUAGUCAUGGCUCAGGAAAGGUCUGCACAACAUGUGUCACUGGGGUUUUUGUUAUGGUCCAUUCCACAGAGAGAGUUUCAGACCUCACAAUUGAAUGGUUCAUCCAAUUUUUAAAGAACAAUUACUAGGCUUGCAUGAAGAGGUGCAUUACCACCUACACUAGUCUCUGAAACACUUGCUUUUCCACUGGUUUAAUGACUGGGCUGUAUCCAAACCCGAAGGGUCAUUUUGGAUGCUUUGGUCUCCAGAGUGCAGAGGCUGGGUUCCCUCCCAGGCCAGUGCACUGUGUCUGUGUUAGCAGCCUGCAGAUGGCACAUUCAGCCUCACCUCUCCUGAGACACUCCCACCCCUCCCAAGGCACCUGCUGAAGGUACCACUGACUGUUUAGAGGCUCCUGAGGUGCUUACUGGCACAGUGGGCUGGGCCAGCUUGUGGGUGAGUUAGAAAUAAAGCUGAGAACAGGGGAGCUCACCCAACAAUUAUCAAAAGCAUUGGGCAAACCAGCACAGUGAUAACCUUAUUCCUGGGUAGGAGUUCAAGGCAUGGAUUUACCUACAUUUGGCAUAAAGUCAAGAGCACAUGGUGUCCAGACAGGGGAGAACAGAGCCAAGCAAGUGGUACCUCAGCAGGAUCUCCUUGGCUUAUCCUGUACUGCUGUGGUCUGAUGCACCUCACACCCAAACAAACUGUAAAUGAUGGCCAAGACUAAUUACCCAGACAACUCCUGGUACUCAGGCUGGCUUGUUUUACCAAGAGGGGGAAUUGCUGCCGAGUUCCAACGAUGCGCUGCUAAUGAACGUGGGUAAGAACAGCACAGAAGGCAGAAGAAUGCCAGAGGAACUGAUCCCCAGAUUCCCCAGUGUGUGGAUCUGACACUGUGUAUUAGCAGCAGGGAAAAUCGAGGGCUGGUCAUUAAUAUUAACAUAGAUACUUUCUUCUGUUUUUCCUGAUAUCCAGAACAAAAGCAGGAUUAGGCUGUAUUUGUUUAAUGAGGUGGAUGUUGAUUUAGGCCUCUGCUGUGUCAGUUCACAUUUACCUCAGCAGGGAAGACUGCAGCAGGAGCCAGUGAGGUGCAAAAUCUCUCUGGAACGAAAUGCAGCAGCAGGACCAUUGCACUCCCCCUCGCCCCUGACCUUCCCACACAGGCAGGGGGAGCCUGCUGGCUCGGAGGAGGUGC
Passer domesticus (house sparrow) is the source of this 1216-nucleotide long non-coding RNA. RefSeq lists it as uncharacterized. The transcript is spliced from 3 exons. The record is from RefSeq and is a predicted model, not a curated record. NCBI's taxonomy places the organism in Eukaryota, Metazoa, Chordata, Aves, Passeriformes, Passeridae.